This 68-nucleotide transfer RNA is filed under the name Deltocephalinae sp. EMHAU-2015-Zz052318. RNAcentral's name for it is "tRNA-Asn". The record is from RNAcentral. Lineage: Eukaryota; Metazoa; Arthropoda; Insecta; Hemiptera; Cicadellidae.
UUAAUUGAAGCCAAGGGAGAGAGGCAUCUUAAUGUUAAUAAGAAAAGUGAUAUAUUUAUCCAAUUAAA